This 30-nucleotide non-coding RNA is filed under the name Xenopus tropicalis (tropical clawed frog). RNAcentral also lists the same sequence under 6 other names. The record is from RNAcentral. Lineage: Eukaryota; Metazoa; Chordata; Amphibia; Anura; Pipidae.
AAGAACGAAAGUCGGAGGUUCGAAGACGAU